AACCAUUCUCACCUGCGGCUAGACCUGCGGAAGGAUCAUUACACAAUACAAUAUGAAGGCUGUCCGCAGCUGGAGUAUUUUAUUACCCUUGUCUUUUGCGCACUUGUUGUUUCCUGGGCGGGUUCGCUCGCCACCAGGACCACCAAAUAAACCUUUUUUAUGCAGUUGCAAUCAGCGUCAGUACAAACAAUGUAAAUCAUUUACAACUUUCAGCAACGGAUCUCAGAUCGGAAGAGCACA
RNAcentral lists this unclassified non-coding RNA (240 nucleotides) under soil metagenome. Its description in RNAcentral is "partial contains 5.8S ribosomal RNA, internal transcribed spacer 2, and large subunit ribosomal RNA". The record is from RNAcentral.